GAUUUGAGAGGGGCUGCUCCUAGUACGAGAGGACCGGAGUGGACGAACCUCUGGUGUUCCGGUUGUCACGCCAGUGGCAUUGCCGGGUAGCUAUGUUCGGAAAAGAUAACCGCUGAAAGCAUCUAAGCGGGAAACUUGCCUCAAGAUGAGAUCUCACUGGGAACUUGAUUCCCCUGAAGGGCCGUCGAAGACUACGACGUUGAUAGGCUGGGUGUGUAAGCGUUGUGAGGCGUUGAGCUAACCAGUACUAAUUGCCCGUGAGGCUUGACCAU
This 272-nucleotide ribosomal RNA is filed under the name Pseudomonas aeruginosa. Its description in RNAcentral is "partial 23S ribosomal RNA". It matches the Rfam family "Bacterial large subunit ribosomal RNA", at positions 2659 to 2925 of the family's 2925-position model. The record is from RNAcentral. Lineage: Bacteria; Pseudomonadati; Pseudomonadota; Gammaproteobacteria; Pseudomonadales; Pseudomonadaceae.